CAGUCGCCGCGGGAAUACGUAGGGUGCGAGCGUUAAUCGGAAUUACUGGGCGUAAAGCGUGCGCAGGCGGUUAUAUAAGACAGAUGUGAAAUCCCCGGGCUCAACCUGGGACCUGCAUUUGUGACUGUAUAGCUAGAGUACGGUAGAGGGGGAUGGAAUUCCGCGUGUAGCAGUGAAAUGCGUAGAUAUGCGGAGGAACACCGAUGGCGAAGGCAAUCCACUGGACCUGUACUGACGCUCAUGCACGAAAGCGUGGGGAGCAAACAGGAUUAGAUACCCGCGUAGUCCCUGUCUCUUAUAA
This 301-nucleotide ribosomal RNA is filed under the name uncultured bacterium. RNAcentral's name for it is "partial 16S ribosomal RNA". It matches the Rfam family "Bacterial small subunit ribosomal RNA", at positions 509 to 809 of the family's 1533-position model. The record is from RNAcentral.